GUCACGUAACAAUUCAAAACCAAAAUAUUAUGAACAUGUUACUAAUGGAAGUAUGCAUGUUAAAACUAGUUGUAAUAAUUUAAGAAGAGUUAAUGUUCCAUUUGAGAUGUGAAGAAAAUGACUGAUGGCAAUAAACGAAAUGUUGCGAUUACGAUCGUCUGCUAAAUUUGAAUACACUAAUUAAACACUUCGACAGAGAGGCAAUAUAGAAAUGAAAUGCGACGUUUUCCUAUACAAUGUGAAAAAUAAUGAUAUUGUAAAUACCUUGCGCGGAACACCGAACAAAAACAUUAAACAUUACAAUAAUGACUACAGGUUUACCUUAUAUAUAAAAUUAAAAAAAAAAUCCGUAAUAUUUUACCUAAUUUAAAAUAUAAUCAUCUUCAUUUAAUGUUACCUUUUUGUUUUAGAAAUUCAGACAGCACAAUGUUACCGGAAUGUCACUUCAAUUUUUGUCCACAGACCACAUGACCAGAGGCAUGGGGAUGAAAGUUGGACCAGCUAUUGUUUUGAGUGACGCUAUUACGCGCGAAGUGCAGAACAGCAGGAAACGGUCAAUGUCAUGUUACCACUGUAGUUCGAAAUUACUCAGGGAUGACCAUAAACUAUUUGUUUAAGUAAACAUGUACUGUAUAGUGUAUAAUAGAUAUAAAAUUGAACAGUGCUAUGCGCCAUGCAUAUUUUAAGGUUACAUGAAGUGUUCAGAUCUCUUUUCAAAAAUAAUGCAUGACUAUCUAAUAAAUUGAAAAAAAAAUCAGAUUCGUCGGUCUCUAUUAAUUCAUUGCAUGACAGCAAAAUGGUUACUACUACUUUUUGGCAUCCAGGG
RNAcentral lists this long non-coding RNA (826 nucleotides) under Mytilus galloprovincialis (Mediterranean mussel). The record is from RNAcentral. Lineage: Eukaryota; Metazoa; Mollusca; Bivalvia; Mytilida; Mytilidae.